This 499-nucleotide ribosomal RNA is filed under the name uncultured Gardnerella sp. Its description in RNAcentral is "bacterial SSU rRNA". It matches the Rfam family "Bacterial small subunit ribosomal RNA", at positions 28 to 525 of the family's 1533-position model. Lineage: Bacteria; Bacillati; Actinomycetota; Actinomycetes; Bifidobacteriales; Bifidobacteriaceae. The record is from RNAcentral.
GAUGAACGCUGGCGGCGUGCUUAACACAUGCAAGUCGAACGGGGAUCUGACCAGCUUGCUGGUUGGUGAGAGUGGCGAACGGGGUAAGUAAUGCGUGACCAACCUGCCCCAUGCUCCAGAAUAGCUCUUGGAAACGGGUGGUAAUGCUGGAUGCUCCAACUUGACGCAUGUCUUGUUGGGGAAAAGUGUUUAGUGGCAUGGGGAUGGGGUCGCGUCCUAUCAGCUUGUAGGCGGGGUAAUGGCCCACCUAGGCUUCGACGGGUAGCCGGCCUGAGAGGGCGGACGGCCACAUUGGGACUGAGAUACGGCCCAGACUCCUACGGGAGGCAGCAGUGGGGAAUAUUGCGCAAUAGGGGAAAACCCUGACGCAGCGACGCCGCGUGCGGGAUGAAGGCCUUCGGGUUGUAAACCGCUUUUGAUUGGGGAGCAAGCCUUUGGGUGAGUGUACCUUUCGAAUAGGCGCCGGGCUAACUACGUGCCCAGCAGCCGCGGGUAAAUA